AGUGAACGCUGGCGGUAGGCCUAACACAUGCAAGUCGAACGGCAGCACAGUAAGAGCUUGCUCUUACGGGUGGCGAGUGGCGGACGGGUGAGGAAUACAUCGGAAUCUACUUUUUCGUGGGGGAUAACGUAGGGAAACUUACGCUAAUACCGCAUACGACCUACGGGUGAAAGCAGGGGAUCUUCGGACCUUGCGCGAUUGAAUGAGCCGAUGUCGGAUUAGCUAGUUGGCGGGGUAAAGGCCCACCAAGGCGACGAUCCGUAGCUGGUCUGAGAGGAUGAUCAGCCACACUGGAACUGAGACACGGUCCAGACUCCUACGGGAGGCAGCAGUGGGGAAUAUUGGACAAUGGGCGCAAGCCUGAUCCAGCCAUACCGCGUGGGUGAAGAAGGCCUUCGGGUUGUAAAGCCCUUUUGUUGGGAAAGAAAAGCAGCUGGUUAAUACCCCGCCGUUCUGACGGUACCCAAAGAAUAAGCACCGGCUAACUUCGUG
RNAcentral lists this ribosomal RNA (492 nucleotides) under uncultured bacterium. RNAcentral describes it as "partial 16S ribosomal RNA". It matches the Rfam family "Bacterial small subunit ribosomal RNA", at positions 29 to 507 of the family's 1533-position model. The record is from RNAcentral.